UUCGGCCCAUUACUCCGCGUAAAAAGCGCGUGCCACCAUAGCCCUACGCGUAAAGAGCGCGUACGCGACCCCGCCAUAGCCUAUAUAUAUAGAGGUGGAACAAACCAAAACCAUCGUCAUUUAAUCAAACAGCGAUGGGGAUGAAUGAAGCGAUUUGGCGGGAGAUGGCUGUUACAAACCCAACGUCGAUGGAGUAGUUGAGGGAUUUUCAGCAACCUUACAAAUUUCUCAAUAUCUGCCUCGAAUUUGAUGCUCUCUCUUUGACCUUCUUCUUCCACCAUGAAAAUUCGUCGUAAACAAUGAAAUCUGAAACCUAUUCGUCGCCAAACUGCUUUACCAGAAGCAGAGACGACCUCCCUGCUGCCUCUUCGAAUUGAUAAUUGAAAACCCUAGUUGUUCUCUGAUCGUCAUAUCUAACCCUAGUUGUUCAAACUAUUUCUAAUUUCAGUCGAAGAAUGAUGGAUCAGUGGGGGAUUUUCGGCAAAUGCACUGACGAUGUAGAAAUAUCUUGAUCCCUACCUCGACGCUCUCUCUUCAAUGUAGCUUUCGUCCAACGCCGCUGCGUUCUUCAGUGGUUUCUUGGAGAGAAGGGAAGCUGAAGAAAGAGGUAGAUGAAAACUCUGUAUGGAGAAAUUAGGCAGGGGCCAUGGGGAAAUAGGCGGCGGAGAUUCAUGACUCAUGACUCCGCCCGAACUUACGACAGAAAAACUCAGAAUAUCCGUGGUAAAAAAGCGAAGGUUCAUUUCCGCAUGAAGACAAUGGAUAUUAGAUUUAAGUUCAAUGCGAAUCCUCUCCACCGACGGUGGAGCGACACAAUUCUCUUGUAUUGGUUUACCUUGACUCUCCUGUUGAAACGGCAAGCAGCAAAUGAAAUAGAGGAGAAUGGGUGCUUCUAAGAACUCAAAUGUUGAAUCUUACGUGAACGCAGAACAGGAGGAAAACCGACCAGGCGGGUGGGCAACUCUUUAUUUUCUUUAAGAUGCUUUUAUCAGAACGUGUAUCAGCAUUGACGUGGGAAUCGAGCUUUGUUGUUCCUCUCCUCCAAUCAUGGGUUUUCACCACUUGGUCUUGCUGCAAGUUGGAGGGAAGGCCUUAUCAGGUCGUGAGAAGCUUUGUGCUUCAACGGGAGACUGGUUCUAAGGAUGACUCUGAAACUAUUGAUAAUUGAUAUGAUCAAAGAGCUUUCGGAGACCAAUAUUCGAGAUAUAAUGAGUUCAAAGCAGAAUCACAAUCAACUUGGAACUUUUUCAGCUAAGCAUACAAAGUCAAAUAGAGUUGAAUGUUUAAAUUGGACUGAGCUAAAUUAGAGCUCUCUCUCAGCAUUGGGGUGUCUUCCAAGCUCAAGUUACAUUGAAAAACAGGUAAUUGCUUCUAUCCAUAUAUGGUUGUGAUAAAUAGUGCAACAGUUUUUUUCAAUUACUGGUUUACAGAUUAUAUUGAAUACUUUGUAAUAAAAUCUGAGUAGCCAAAUCAUGAUAAUUAUUUAUUGGUCUAAAUAACUAUUACUGUA
Momordica charantia (bitter melon) is the source of this 1510-nucleotide non-coding RNA. Lineage: Eukaryota; Viridiplantae; Streptophyta; Magnoliopsida; Cucurbitales; Cucurbitaceae. The record is from RefSeq and is a predicted model, not a curated record.